RNAcentral lists this ribosomal RNA (1227 nucleotides) under Triticum aestivum (bread wheat). RNAcentral's name for it is "partial small subunit ribosomal RNA". The record is from RNAcentral. Lineage: Eukaryota; Viridiplantae; Streptophyta; Magnoliopsida; Poales; Poaceae.
AUGACCGAAUGGGCCGGUCUUCUCAUGUGCGCCGGCCGGAUAACCCGUGUGCCCGGAACCGCCUCUGCCUCAAGCGCCCUAGCUAGAAAUUCCCGGUCUGCCUCGAGCACCCAACCCCAAUCUGAGGCUCCCAACGGUAAUAUCUCCGCGCUGCGCCGCGUUGCCGACCGACCGAGACUGACCCCUCCUGGCCCCUGCCCACCCAGUCCGGCCGAAUCCAGCCCCAACACGCUCCACUUCCCUUCGAUUUCCGCCGCCCGCCGAAGCCGUCUCCGGCAAGGACCCGACCGGCGACACGACCUCUUCCCGGCGGCCCGCCCGCGGCCAGGCGCGCUCUUUCCUCUCUCCCCGCGCUCUGGCCAUGGCCGGUCUGCUCCUCCUCUCUUCGUCCGGGGCCCCGGGUCAUGGCCGUCUCUCGCCUCGCCUCCUCGCGUCCGGGUCGCUUGCGGUUUGAUUUCGCUCGUCCUCGUCGUCGUCCGUGUAGGGUCGCGCCUAGCUCGAUUUCGCUCGUCCUCGCCGUUGACCCGAUGCGCUCGCGUGUUCUUGGUUCCUUCUUUUCUUCCUGAUGUUGCUAUUUCCAUUGAACUACUCAUAGGAGUUCUAGAUGAGCUGCUGCUAAGACACUCACUAUCCCGUGUUUCAUAUUCGUGGCGGAGCGAUGAACGAUUAUGUUCCGUGUCCCUGUGUUUCGUGUUCGCCUGUCUGGUUUUGGAUUUGGAUUACGGAGACGGGGAGAGGCCAAAGCAAGGUGGAAAUAUUGAUACCACUUCUGUGUUAGUAUACUUGAUAUGGACACUGAACGGUUUAUCUGGGCCACCGCACAGCCUGGCUAAUCAGGUUGUAGUGAUUAGGGAGAAGCUUGCAGAACUGUUGCACGACUAUUUGGAGGUAUGCUAUGCGAGAAUUUUAGAUCUAAAGCGUAAAUUCUUGGAAGCUGCACUUCGAUACUAUGUCACUGGAAUAAUGCUUUCUAAGUAUUUAAGUAUGGAGCAACAAAUUGGUCUCAUUGCAAGGUUACUACCUGGACGUAUAGGCAAGCAAUGUCAAGAGAGAAGGUACUACCUUGGUCCUCUUUGUUACCAGAUUCCUAACAUGAAUGAUGUAGCCCCUGCCACUUCCUCACUCUUUCCUGAACAUCAUACCGUGCAUCAGACAUCUGAACAUUGCAGGAAUGAGGCUAUCCAUCGGCUUGUAGCUCAUGAGAGGCAACCACAGUUGCCAACUUGA